CAAGGUGUAGCUAAAGAAAUUUAAAGCGUUUCACUUACAAUGAAGAGGUAGCCGGUUAGUUAAGGUUCAUCUUGG
RNAcentral lists this transfer RNA (75 nucleotides) under Atergatis integerrimus. RNAcentral describes it as "tRNA-Val". It matches the Rfam family "tRNA". Rfam says of the family: Transfer RNA (tRNA) molecules are approximately 80 nucleotides in length. Their secondary structure includes four short double-helical elements and three loops (D, anti-codon, and T loops). Further hydrogen bonds mediate the characteristic L-shaped molecular structure. tRNAs have two regions of fundamental functional importance: the anti-codon, which is responsible for specific mRNA codon recognition, and the 3' end, to which the tRNAs corresponding amino acid is attached (by aminoacyl-tRNA synthetases). tRNAs cope with the degeneracy of the genetic code in two manners: having more than one tRNA (with a specific anti-codon) for a particular amino acid; and 'wobble' base-pairing, i.e. permitting non-standard base-pairing at the 3rd anti-codon position. Lineage: Eukaryota; Metazoa; Arthropoda; Malacostraca; Decapoda; Xanthidae. The record is from RNAcentral.